Molecule: long non-coding RNA, 313 nt
Filed under: Vigna radiata
Lineage: Eukaryota; Viridiplantae; Streptophyta; Magnoliopsida; Fabales; Fabaceae
Description: long non-coding RNA (VRAD_LNC011671)
Source: RNAcentral
UGGAAAAUGAAUUUUUAAUAUGAGAAUGAUGUGGCAAUGAGAAUUGGGGACAUGUUUCAAAUUUGGGUUUCAUUUUCUCAUUUUCAGAUUUGUAAUAUGAGGAACAUUUGAAAGAGAACCUCUGAGCGCGAAAGCUAGAGAGGAAGAGACUUGUCUUCUCUCCACCCUGCCACCGUUGUCGCCGGAAUGUCGCCGUACUGCCCGCGUUCGUAGGCAAAACCAAGAAGGUGUCGUCUUCCUUCCACCUAGCUACCCAGUGUCGUCGGAGUGCCGCCGUUUGUACGCAAAACCUAUACAGUCUCGUCUUCCCUCC